Molecule: ribosomal RNA, 342 nt
Filed under: uncultured rumen bacterium clone 15
Lineage: Bacteria
Description: bacterial SSU rRNA
Rfam family: Bacterial small subunit ribosomal RNA
Source: RNAcentral
UUGGCUCAGGAUGAACGCUGGCGGCGUGCUUCAUACAUGCAAGUCGAACGAGAAUCUCUAGCUUGCUAGAGAGGAAAGUGGCGGACGGGUGAGUAAAAUGUAGAGAAUCUGCCCUUGAGAGGGGGACAACAGUUGGAAACGGCUGCUAAUACCCCAUAUGAGCGUACCUGAGAUGGUAUUCUUGAAAACUCCGGUGCUCAAGGAUGAGUCUGCAUCUGAUUAGCUAGUUGGCGGGGUAAUGGCCCACCAAGGCGACGAUCAGUAGCUGGUUUGAGAGGAUGAUCAGCCACAAUGGGACUGAGACACGGCCCAUACUCCUACGGGAGGCAGCAGUGGGGAAUA